CUCUGUUAUAAGUUUGAAUGACAAGAAAAAAUAAGCCCUUCAAAGAUUAAGGGGAAGAAGAAUUUUGGUAGAAGGAAUAGCUAGUGGAAAGGUUCAAGGGUGGGUGCAUAUUGGUCUACUUGAGGAACAAAAAGAAAGCCAGUGUGGAUGGAACUUAGUGGAAAAGGGGUGGAGCAACCUGAGAUGAGGUCACAGAGGCAGACAGGGGCUGGGGUGUAGGACUUUCUGGCCAGUUUAAAAAGUAUGGAUUUGUUCUAGGAGCAAUGUGAAGCCAUAUCUGAAGAGCAGUACAGACUAAGCGAAGGAGAAAAGAAUGAGGAGCAGGAAGAGGAGAAAAGAAAGACCACCAUGUAUGCAGAGUGCCCAAAGAGAGCCAUUCCUGUGCUUUUUCUGCAACAGCAUCUUCCUUGGGAAACAGCUGAAUGUGGCUACUGCUUCCACUUGGAAAAUUAGAGUACAGCAACCAUGCUAUUAGAAAUCUUGUGCUCUUUGAUGUUGGCGUUUGGUAUUUUUGGCUAAAAAUUAAGCUGAGAUCGUUUAAACAUGUCUGACACAUGGACUGGGCCUGUAUCUUAGUGAGUUUUCUUUGUUUUGUCAGUCUACCCAUUAUUUCAUCUCCUUUAAUCAAACAUUUUAUUGUACUUUUGCAAUAUUAUCAGGCGAGACGGUGAGUGUCAAUAUCAGUAAGAUUACCUGUGCUGUGAUGUUUCUGAAACAUCUGGUGUCUAGGUCAGGCUUUUCUCAGCUUUUUACUUUGUUUUUGGUGCACUUAGGAUCUUUUCUAACACAUGGACACUCCUAUUCAGCCAUCUCUUCUUCAAGCUAUUCUUCUUCAUAUAAUUUUUCCUUAAAGUCCAAUUUUUAUAAAUGAUUAAUUCUUAUUGUUUUCUUCAGGACCACUCAAAGAUAACUUCCCUUAUCUCCUUCAAUUUUUACUUGAAAAUAAAAUAUUACUCUAGACAAAGAAAUUUUUGACUUAAAUUCUCCCACUACCCAGGCCACCAGAUUUUAUAAUACGCAAGUAGUUGGAGACUAUUCAAAGUCCAGUCAGGUGCUUACCUUUCUAUCCUGACUCUUUAUCUGCAAAUCUCUUUCUGUCUUUCUUGUUUUCUUUACCCUAUUUUCCUCACUAUCAAAUAUUUUUAUCACCCUUAAAUACAGUUCACUGGAUUAGGCUUGCAUUUAAGAAAAGUUAUGCUGUCUAUUCUUUUCUAUAACAAUACCAUAUUUAAAAAUUUCCUGUGAUAUGGG
Molecule: long non-coding RNA, 1251 nt
Organism: Equus caballus (horse)
Lineage: Eukaryota; Metazoa; Chordata; Mammalia; Perissodactyla; Equidae
Source: Ensembl